RNAcentral lists this transfer RNA (70 nucleotides) under Ovis aries (sheep). It matches the Rfam family "tRNA". Rfam says of the family: Transfer RNA (tRNA) molecules are approximately 80 nucleotides in length. Their secondary structure includes four short double-helical elements and three loops (D, anti-codon, and T loops). Lineage: Eukaryota; Metazoa; Chordata; Mammalia; Artiodactyla; Bovidae. The record is from Rfam by way of RNAcentral.
UCCCUGGUGGCUGAUGUUAAAGCAUCUGCCUGCAAUGCAGGAGACCUGGGUUCGAUCCCUGGGUUAGGAA